GACGAACGCUGGCGGCGUGCUUAACACAUGCAAGUCGAACGGUGAAGCGCCUUCCUUUUUGGUGGGUGUGGAUGAGUGGCGAACGGGUGAGUAACACGUGAGUAACCUGCCCCCUUCUUCUGGAUAACCGCAUGAAAGUGUGGCUAAUACGGGAUAUUCUGGGUCUGUCGCAUGAUGGGUCUGGGAAAGAUAUUGUUUCGGUGGGGGAUGGGCUCGCGGCCUAUCAGCUUGUUGGUGGGGUGAUGGUCUACCAAGGCGGUGACGGGUAGCCGGCCUGAGAGGGUGGACGGUCACACUGGGACUGAGACACGGCCCAGACUCCUACGGGAGGCAGCAGUGGGGAAUAUUGCACAAUGGGCGCAAGCCUGAUGCAGCGACGCCGCGUGAGGGAUGGAGGCCUUCGGGUUGUGAACCUCUUUCGCCAGUGAAGCAGGCCUGCCUCGUUUGUGGGUGGGUUGACGGUAGCUGGAUAAGAAGCGCCGGCUAACUACGUG
RNAcentral lists this ribosomal RNA (494 nucleotides) under uncultured bacterium. Its description in RNAcentral is "partial 16S ribosomal RNA". It matches the Rfam family "Bacterial small subunit ribosomal RNA", at positions 28 to 507 of the family's 1533-position model. The record is from RNAcentral.